CGGAACGGGUGAGUAACGCGUGAGGAACCUGCCUCAAAGAGGGGGACAACAGUUGGAAACGACUGCUAAUACCGCAUAAGCCCACGGCUCGGCAUCGAGCAGAGGGAAAAGGAGUGAUCCGCUUUGAGAUGGCCUCGCGUCCGAUUAGCUGGUUGGUGAGGUAACGGCCCACCAAGGCGACGAUCGGUAGCCGGACUGAGAGGUUGAACGGCCACAUUGGGACUGAGACACGGUCCAA
This 238-nucleotide ribosomal RNA is filed under the name uncultured bacterium. Its description in RNAcentral is "partial 16S ribosomal RNA". It matches the Rfam family "Bacterial small subunit ribosomal RNA", at positions 100 to 334 of the family's 1533-position model. The record is from RNAcentral.